UACAGAGGUGGCAAGCGUUGUUCGGAUUUACUGGGCGUAAAGGGUCCGUAGGCGGUUCGGUUAGUCAAAUGUGAAAGCCCACAGCUCAACUGUGGAACUGCAUUUGAAACUGCCGAGCUAGAGUAUGAGAGGGGUUAAGGGAAUUCCCGGUGUAAGGGUGAAAUCUGCAGAGAUCGGGAGGAACACCAGUCGCGAAGGCGCUUAACUGGCUCAUUACUGACGCUCAGGGACGAAAGCUAGGGUAGCAAACGGG
Molecule: ribosomal RNA, 253 nt
Filed under: uncultured bacterium
Lineage: Bacteria
Description: partial 16S ribosomal RNA
Rfam family: Bacterial small subunit ribosomal RNA
Source: RNAcentral